RNAcentral lists this ribosomal RNA (439 nucleotides) under uncultured bacterium. RNAcentral describes it as "partial 16S ribosomal RNA". It matches the Rfam family "Bacterial small subunit ribosomal RNA", at positions 339 to 795 of the family's 1533-position model. The record is from RNAcentral.
CUACGGGCGGCUGCAGUGGGGAAUAUUGCACAAUGGGGGAAACCCUGAUGCAGCGACGCCGCGUGAAGGAUGAAGGAUUUCGGUUCGUAAACUUCUAUCAGCAGGGAAGAUAGUGACUGUACCUGACUAAGAAGCCCCGGCUAACUACGUGCCAGCAGCCGCGGUAAUACGUAGGGGGCAAGCGUUAUCCGGAAUUACUGGGUGUAAAGGGUGCGUAGGCGGUCUGUUAAGCCAGAUGUGAAAGCCCGGGGCUCAACCUCGGGACUGCAUUUGGAACUGGCAGACUAGAAUACAGGAGAGGUAAGUGGAAUUCCUAGUGUAGCGGUGAAAUGCGUAGAUAUUAGGAGGAACACCAGUGGCGAAGGCGACUUACUGGACUGUUAUUGACGCUGAGGCACGAAAGCGUGGGGAGCGAACAGGAUUAGAUACCCCUGUAGUC